Synchiropus splendidus (mandarinfish) is the source of this 534-nucleotide long non-coding RNA. RefSeq lists it as uncharacterized. The record is from RefSeq and is a predicted model, not a curated record. Lineage: Eukaryota; Metazoa; Chordata; Actinopteri; Syngnathiformes; Callionymidae. The transcript is spliced from 4 exons.
GGUGUUGCAGUUUAACUACAAGCUAUUAUUUAAAAGAGCUGCCCGUUUAUUUUUUUGAAAUUUUGUUGUGAGGGUCCAAGAUUGUCUUUGUGAGUACGGCUUUUUCCAACGAGAAUCUCAGCUGAAACUACUUCUAUGUCGAAAAACAUCAUAGGUAUCAUUGUGUUGAAGGCUCAUAAUAUCCAGCUGGAACCUAUUGACUGAGGCUGCCUUGAUGCUGCUCGGGUUGUGAGCCCAGAGCCUGUCUCCGGCAGGAUGAACAGCUCAGAGGAGUGACGGAUCCUUCACCACCUGAGCCACGCCACUGCCCUCGUGUCGCAGCUCUCCAUUCUAACCGAUGCUGGAGGGACAUAACGGGUUGAUGAGCAGUUAGCGCUUCCAUCAAGAAUCUCCAGAGCCAUCCGUGGAAAAUGAAACCAUCUCUGAACAGGAGGAGUCCAGAUUGCUGUAGGAAGUCAAGCAAGAGUAGAGCAAAAGCACAACCUAAAGAGAGGAUUCCAGUAUUCCUUGGAACUGGACUCCAACCUUCUUGCU